GUAGGUGAACCUGCGGAAGGAUCAUUACAGAGUUCAUGCCCUCACGGGUAGACCUCCCACCCUUGAAUACUAUACCUUCGUUGCUUUGGCAGGCCGUGGAAACACCACGGGCCUCGGCUAGUGCGUGCCUGCCAGAGGAAACAAACUCUGCUUUUAGUGAUGUCUGAGUACUAUAUAAUAGUUAAAACUUUCAACAACGGAUCUCUUGGUUCUG
Molecule: unclassified non-coding RNA, 214 nt
Filed under: rhizosphere metagenome
Description: partial ribosomal RNA internal transcribed spacer region
Source: RNAcentral